RNAcentral lists this ribosomal RNA (274 nucleotides) under uncultured bacterium. Its description in RNAcentral is "partial 16S ribosomal RNA". It matches the Rfam family "Bacterial small subunit ribosomal RNA", at positions 523 to 796 of the family's 1533-position model. The record is from RNAcentral.
AUACGGAGGAUGCGAGCGUUAUCCGGAAUCAUUGGGUUUAAAGGGUCCGCAGGCGGUCAAUUAAGUCAGAGGUGAAAGCCCAUCGCUCAACGAUGGAACUGCCUUUGAUACUGGUUGACUUGAGUUAUACGGAAGUAGAUAGAAUAAGUAGUGUAGCGGUGAAAUGCAUAGAUAUUACUUAGAAUACCGAUUGCGAAGGCAGUCUACUACGUAUAUACUGACGCUGAGGGACGAAAGCGUGGGGAGCGAACAGGAUUAGAUACCCCAGUAGUCC